GCUAUACAGAACUCACUGAUAGCUUGAUCUUGUACCUUAAAUCACUCAAAGCUCUGUAGAGAGCACACUGAAAACUGGGUAUACCAUCUUAGGUUUUACCUGAUGCUGGAUGUCCUCAUGCUAAGCAAUCAGGUGACCAAAACUCGCCUAACCACCCUGAAGUGCCUAUAGUGGCUGUUUGCAAGACAGCCAUUAGGGGUAGAGAUAACCCUGCAGUGUAAUUAUUGCAGUUUAUCAAUAACUGUAAUAAUUGCAAUUGAACGCUUAAACGGUCAUAAAGUUUGAUUCCAACAGAGGUGUGCAAUCUGGCAAUAGCAAUCAAUCACUCCAG
Molecule: non-coding RNA, 331 nt
Organism: Pelobates cultripes (western spadefoot toad)
Lineage: Eukaryota; Metazoa; Chordata; Amphibia; Anura; Pelobatidae
Source: the annotation of a GenBank genome assembly